AACAAAAACAUGUCCUUUAGAAUAGAAUUUAAGGUCUAACCUGCCCACUGAGGAAUUUAACGGCCGCAGUAUUUUGACUGUGCAAAGGUAGCAUAAUCAUUAGUUUUUUAAUUGAAAGCUUGUAUGAAUGGUUGGACGAGAUAUAAACUGUCUUUAAGUUAAAAUUAGAAUUUAAUUUUUAAGUUAAAAAGCUUAAAUAAUAUUAAAAGACGAGAAGACCCUAUAAAUCUUUAUAGAUUUAUUUAUUUAAUUUUUUAGGAUUAUUAAUUUUUAUAUAAAUAUAUUUAUUUUAUUGGGGUAAUAAAAAGAUUUAAUUAAUUCUUUUAAAAAUUUACAUUGAUUAGUGUUUUUUUUGAUCCUUUAUUAUAGAUUAUAAGAUUAAGUUACUUUAGGGAUAACAGCGUAAUUUUUUUAGAGAGUUCUUAUCGAUAAAAAAGUUUGCGACCUCGAUGUUG
Molecule: ribosomal RNA, 455 nt
Filed under: Hydroglyphus farquharensis
Lineage: Eukaryota; Metazoa; Arthropoda; Insecta; Coleoptera; Dytiscidae
Description: partial 16S ribosomal RNA
Source: RNAcentral